RNAcentral lists this ribosomal RNA (496 nucleotides) under uncultured bacterium. RNAcentral describes it as "partial 16S ribosomal RNA". It matches the Rfam family "Bacterial small subunit ribosomal RNA", at positions 28 to 506 of the family's 1533-position model. The record is from RNAcentral.
GAUGAACGCUGGCGGCGUGCCUAAUACAUGCAAGUCGAGCGAACGGACGAGAAGCUUGCUUCUCUGAUGUUAGCGGCGGACGGGUGAGUAACACGUGGAUAACCUACCUAUAAGACUGGGAUAACUUCGGGAAACCGUAGCUAAUACCGGAUAAUAUUUUGAACCGCAUGGUUCAAAAGUGAAAGACGGUCUUGCUGUCACUUAUAGAUGGAUCCGCGCUGCAUUAGCUAGUUGGUAAGGUAACGGCUUACCAAGGCAACGAUGCAUAGCCGACCUGAGAGGGUGAUCGGCCACACUGGAACUGAGACACGGUCCAGACUCCUACGGGAGGCAGCAGUAGGGAAUCUUCCGCAAUGGGCGAAAGCCUGACGGAGCAACGCCGCGUGAGUGAUGAAGGUCUUCGGCUCGUAAAACUCUGUUAUUAGGGAAGAACAUAUGUGUAAGUAACUGUGCACAUCUUGACGGUACCUAAUCAGAAAGCCACGGCUAACUACGU